GAUGAAGAACGUAGCGAAAUGCGAUAAGUAGUGUGAAUUGCAGAAUUCAGUGAAUCAUCGAAUCUUUGAACGCACAUUGCGCCCUUUGGUAUUCCAAAGGGCAUGCCUGUUCGAGCGUCAUUUGUACCCUCAAGCUUUGCUUGGUGUUGGGCGUCUUGUCUCUAGCUUUGCUGGAGACUCGCCUUAAAGUAAUUGGCAGCCGGCCUACUGGUUUCGGAGCGCAGCACAAGUCGCACUCUCUAUCAGCAAAGGUCUAGCAUCCAUUAGGCCUUUUUUUCAACUUUUGACCUCGGAUCAGGUAGGGAUACCCGCUGAACUUAAGCAUAUCAAUAAGCGGAGGA
Molecule: unclassified non-coding RNA, 341 nt
Filed under: soil metagenome
Description: partial contains 5.8S ribosomal RNA, internal transcribed spacer 2, and large subunit ribosomal RNA
Rfam family: 5.8S ribosomal RNA (bases 1-120)
Source: RNAcentral